Molecule: ribosomal RNA, 1540 nt
Filed under: Escherichia coli RS218
Lineage: Bacteria; Pseudomonadati; Pseudomonadota; Gammaproteobacteria; Enterobacterales; Enterobacteriaceae
Description: bacterial SSU rRNA
Rfam family: Bacterial small subunit ribosomal RNA
Source: RNAcentral
AAUUGAAGAGUUUGAUCAUGGCUCAGAUUGAACGCUGGCGGCAGGCCUAACACAUGCAAGUCGAACGGUAACAGGAAGCAGCUUGCUGCUUUGCUGACGAGUGGCGGACGGGUGAGUAAUGUCUGGGAAACUGCCCGAUGGAGGGGGAUAACUACUGGAAACGGUAGCUAAUACCGCAUAACGUCGCAAGACCAAAGAGGGGGACCUUAGGGCCUCUUGCCAUCGGAUGUGCCAGAUGGGAUUAGCUAGUAGGUGGGGUAACGGCUCACCUAGGCGACGAUCCCUAGCUGGUCUGAGAGGAUGACCAGCCACACUGGAACUGAGACACGGUCCAGACUCCUACGGGAGGCAGCAGUGGGGAAUAUUGCACAAUGGGCGCAAGCCUGAUGCAGCCAUGCCGCGUGUAUGAAGAAGGCCUUCGGGUUGUAAAGUACUUUCAGCGGGGAGGAAGGGAGUAAAGUUAAUACCUUUGCUCAUUGACGUUACCCGCAGAAGAAGCACCGGCUAACUCCGUGCCAGCAGCCGCGGUAAUACGGAGGGUGCAAGCGUUAAUCGGAAUUACUGGGCGUAAAGCGCACGCAGGCGGUUUGUUAAGUCAGAUGUGAAAUCCCCGGGCUCAACCUGGGAACUGCAUCUGAUACUGGCAAGCUUGAGUCUCGUAGAGGGGGGUAGAAUUCCAGGUGUAGCGGUGAAAUGCGUAGAGAUCUGGAGGAAUACCGGUGGCGAAGGCGGCCCCCUGGACGAAGACUGACGCUCAGGUGCGAAAGCGUGGGGAGCAAACAGGAUUAGAUACCCUGGUAGUCCACGCCGUAAACGAUGUCGACUUGGAGGUUGUGCCCUUGAGGCGUGGCUUCCGGAGCUAACGCGUUAAGUCGACCGCCUGGGGAGUACGGCCGCAAGGUUAAAACUCAAAUGAAUUGACGGGGGCCCGCACAAGCGGUGGAGCAUGUGGUUUAAUUCGAUGCAACGCGAAGAACCUUACCUGGUCUUGACAUCCACGGAAGUUUUCAGAGAUGAGAAUGUGCCUUCGGGAACCGUGAGACAGGUGCUGCAUGGCUGUCGUCAGCUCGUGUUGUGAAAUGUUGGGUUAAGUCCCGCAACGAGCGCAACCCUUAUCCUUUGUUGCCAGCGGUCCGGCCGGGAACUCAAAGGAGACUGCCAGUGAUAAACUGGAGGAAGGUGGGGAUGACGUCAAGUCAUCAUGGCCCUUACGACCAGGGCUACACACGUGCUACAAUGGCGCAUACAAAGAGAAGCGACCUCGCGAGAGCAAGCGGACCUCAUAAAGUGCGUCGUAGUCCGGAUUGGAGUCUGCAACUCGACUCCAUGAAGUCGGAAUCGCUAGUAAUCGUGGAUCAGAAUGCCACGGUGAAUACGUUCCCGGGCCUUGUACACACCGCCCGUCACACCAUGGGAGUGGGUUGCAAAAGAAGUAGGUAGCUUAACCUUCGGGAGGGCGCUUACCACUUUGUGAUUCAUGACUGGGGUGAAGUCGUAACAAGGUAACCGUAGGGGAACCUGCGGUUGGAUCACCUCCUUA